RNAcentral lists this ribosomal RNA (1627 nucleotides) under Pseudoalteromonas sp. TB51. RNAcentral describes it as "bacterial LSU rRNA". It matches the Rfam family "Bacterial large subunit ribosomal RNA", at positions 1321 to 2925 of the family's 2925-position model. The record is from RNAcentral. Lineage: Bacteria; Pseudomonadati; Pseudomonadota; Gammaproteobacteria; Alteromonadales; Pseudoalteromonadaceae.
GUGAAAAACCCGCACGCCGGAAGACCAAGGGUUCCUAUCCCAUGUUAAUCAGGGUAGGGUAAGUCGACCCCUAAGGCGAGGCCGAAAGGCGUAGUCGAUGGGAAACGGAUUAAUAUUUCCGUACUUGGUAUAAUUGCGAUGGGGGGACGGAGAAGGCUAAGCAAGCAUGGCGAUGGUUGUCCAUGUGAAAGUGAGUAGGGCGUUUGUUUAGGUAAAUCCGGACGAACAUUAAACCUGAGACACGAGACGAGUCACCACGGUGAUGAAGUUGUUGAUGCCAUACUUCCAGGAAAAGCCUCUAAGCUUCAGAUUAUACCGAAUCGUACCCCAAACCGACACAGGUGGUCAGGUAGAGAAUACUAAGGCGCUUGAGAGAACUCGGGUGAAGGAACUAGGCAAAAUCGUACCGUAACUUCGGGAGAAGGUACGCUCCUAUCUGUGAUGAGACUUGCUCUCUAAGCGGACGGGAGCCGCAGUGACCAGGUGGCUGGGACUGUUUAUUAAAAACACAGCACUGUGCAAAAUCGCAAGAUGACGUAUACGGUGUGACACCUGCCCGGUGCCGGAAGGUUAAUUGAUGGGGUUAGUUUUCGGACGAAGCUCUUGAUCGAAGCCCCGGUAAACGGCGGCCGUAACUAUAACGGUCCUAAGGUAGCGAAAUUCCUUGUCGGGUAAGUUCCGACCUGCACGAAUGGUGUAACCAUGGCCACGCUGUCUCCACCCGAGACUCAGUGAAAUUGAAAUCGCAGUGAAGAUGCUGUGUACCCGCGGCUAGACGGAAAGACCCCGUGAACCUUUACUACAGCUUGGCACUGAACAUUGAACCUACAUGUGUAGGAUAGGUGGGAGACUUUGAAGCAGCGACGCUAGUUGUUGUGGAGUCGUCCUUGAAAUACCACCCUUGUAGUUUUGAUGUUCUAACGUUGGCCCCUGAAUCGGGGUUACGGACAGUGCCUGGUGGGUAGUUUGACUGGGGCGGUCUCCUCCCAAAGAGUAACGGAGGAGCACGAAGGUUGGCUAAGUACGGUCGGACAUCGUACGGUUAGUGUAAUGGUAGAAGCCAGCUUAACUGCGAGACAGACACGUCGAGCAGGUACGAAAGUAGGUCAUAGUGAUCCGGUGGUUCUGAAUGGAAGGGCCAUCGCUCAACGGAUAAAAGGUACUCCGGGGAUAACAGGCUGAUACCGCCCAAGAGUUCAUAUCGACGGCGGUGUUUGGCACCUCGAUGUCGGCUCAUCACAUCCUGGGGCUGAAGUCGGUCCCAAGGGUAUGGCUGUUCGCCAUUUAAAGUGGUACGCGAGCUGGGUUUAGAACGUCGUGAGACAGUUCGGUCCCUAUCUGCCGUGGGCGUUUGAGAAUUGAGAGGGGUUGCUCCUAGUACGAGAGGACCGGAGUGAACGAACCGCUGGUGUUCGGGUUGUCAUGCCAAUGGCAUUGCCCGGUAGCUACGUUCGGAACUGAUAAGCGCUGAAAGCAUCUAAGCGCGAAGCAGGCCUCGAGAUGAUUUCUCACUAGACUUUUAAAGUCUCUGAAGGGCCGUUGAAGACUACAACGUUGAUAGGCAAGAUGUGGAAGUGGUGUGAGCCAUUAAGCUAACUUGUACUAAUUACCCGUGAGGCUUAACCAU